GAUGAGGAACGCAGCGAAAUGCGAUAAGUAAUGUGAAUUGCAGAAUUCAGUGAAUCAUCGAGUCUUUGAACGCACAUUGCGCCCCCUGGUAUUCCGGGGGGCAUGCCUGUCCGAGCGUCAUUGCUGCCCUCAAGCACGGCUUGUGUGUUGGGCCUCCGUCCUCCUCCCGGGGGACGGGCCCGAAAGGCAGCGGCGGCACCGCGUCCGGUCCUCGAGCGUAUGGGGCUUCGUCACCCGCUCUUGUAGGCCCGGCCGGCGCUUGCCGACACAUCAAUCUUUUUUCCAGGUUGACCUCGGAUCAGGUAGGGAUACCCGCUGAACUUAAGCAUAUCAAUAAGCGGAGGA
This 345-nucleotide unclassified non-coding RNA is filed under the name soil metagenome. Its description in RNAcentral is "partial contains 5.8S ribosomal RNA, internal transcribed spacer 2, and large subunit ribosomal RNA". The stretch from base 1 to 120 matches the Rfam family "5.8S ribosomal RNA", at positions 35 to 154 of the family's 154-position model. The record is from RNAcentral.